Molecule: ribosomal RNA, 640 nt
Filed under: uncultured Acidiphilium sp.
Lineage: Bacteria; Pseudomonadati; Pseudomonadota; Alphaproteobacteria; Acetobacterales; Acidocellaceae
Description: bacterial SSU rRNA
Rfam family: Bacterial small subunit ribosomal RNA
Source: RNAcentral
AUCCUACGUGAAGGCAGCAGUGGGGAAAUUCCUGACGGAGGGGCAGCCAGCGGGGAUAUAUUGGACAAUGGGCGUAAGCAGUGAUCCAGCAAUGCCGCGUGGCUGAAGAAGGUCUUGCGGAUUGUAAAGUCCUUUUGGCGGGGACGAUGAUGACGGUACCCGCAGAAUAAGCUCCGGCUAACUUCGUGCCAGCAGCCGGGGUAAUACUAAGGGGGCUAGCGUUGCUCGAUAAUGACUGGUGCGUAAAGGGCUCGUAAGUAGAGGGCACAGUCAGGCGUGAAAUUCCUGGGCUCAACCUGGUGGACUGCGCUCUGAGACGUGUUGGCUUGAUUUAUGGAAGAGAGGUUGUGGAAUUUCCAGUGUAAAAGUGAAAUUCAAUUUAUCUGGGAAAGAACACCGUGUGGUAGAAUGCGGCAACGAAGGUCCAUUACUGAAAGCUGAGGCCCGAAAGCGAUGCGGAGCAAACAGGGAUUAAAUACCCGGGUACUCCACGCGAUUAAACAACCUGUGCUGCAUGUUGGGGUGCUAAGAAAUUCAGUGUCUGGACUGAUACGCUAUUCACUGCCCCAGGGGAGUACGGCCGCUCGGUUCAAGCUCAAAAGAAAUUGACGGGUUGAAACUCAAAUGAAAUUUGGACGGG